Molecule: ribosomal RNA, 863 nt
Filed under: Klebsiella pneumoniae
Lineage: Bacteria; Pseudomonadati; Pseudomonadota; Gammaproteobacteria; Enterobacterales; Enterobacteriaceae
Description: bacterial SSU rRNA
Rfam family: Bacterial small subunit ribosomal RNA
Source: RNAcentral
UUAAUUGAGAGUUUGAUCCUGGCUCAGGACGAACGCUGGCGGCGCGCUUAACACAUGCAAGUCGAGCGAUGAAAUCUUGACAGAUCCCUUCGGGGUGAAGAUAAGAUGGAUUAGCGGCGGACGGGUGAGUAACACGUGAGUAACCUGCCUUAGACAUUGGGAUAGCCUCGGGAAACCGGGAUUAAUACCAAAUGAAAUCAUAGGUGCCCAUGCACUAAUGAUCAAAACUCCGGUGGUCUAAGAUGGACUCGCGUCCCAUUAGCUAGUUGGUGAGGUAACGGCCCACCAAGGCGACGAUGGGUAGCCGGCCUGAGAGGGUGAACGGCCACAUUGGAACUGAGAAACGGUCCAAACUCCUACGGGAGGCAGCAGUGGGGAAUAUUGCACAAUGGAGGGAACUCUGAUGCAGCGACGCCGCGUGAACGAUGAAGGCUUUCGAGUCGUAAAGUUCUUUUAUAUGGGAAGAUAAUGACGGUACCAUAAGAAAAAGCCCCGGCUAACUACGUGCCAGCAGCCGCGGUAAUACGUAGGGGGCUAGCGUUGUCCGGAAUCACUGGGCGUAAAGGGUUCGCAGGCGGAAAUGCAAGUCAGAUGUAAAACGCAGUAGCUUAACUACUGUAAGCAUUUGAAACUGCAUAUCUUGAGAAGAGUAGAAGUAAGUGGAAUUUUUAGUGUAGCGGUGAAAUGCGUAGAUAUUAAAAAGAAUACCGGUGGCGAAGGCGACUUACUGGGCUCAUUCUGACGCUGAGGAACGAAAGCGUGGGUAGCAAACAGGAUUAGAUACCCUGGUAGUCCACGCUGUAAACGAUGAGUGCUAGGUAUCGGAAUAAUUCGGUGCCGCAGUUAACACAUUAAGCACUCCG